Populus nigra (black poplar) is the source of this 381-nucleotide long non-coding RNA. RefSeq lists it as uncharacterized. Lineage: Eukaryota; Viridiplantae; Streptophyta; Magnoliopsida; Malpighiales; Salicaceae. The record is from RefSeq and is a predicted model, not a curated record. The transcript has 3 exons.
GAAAAUACAAUAAAGCCCUUGAAGGCUUAAGAUGUAGGAAUAAUUAAAUGAAGGGUAUUGUAGUAAUUGUAUAAAUACAUAAUAUAUAUAAAUAGAAAAAAAAAAAACAAGAGAUCUGAAAAUUUAGAGUAAAAAAAAAAACUGACGGGAGAGAGAAGGGAGAAAGAGGAAGAAGAAGAAGAAGAGAAAAGAGGGGAAAAUAAGGGAAAAAGGAAAGGAGUUGGAGGAAAUAAAUAAAAAGGGAUAAUCCUGAUAUUCUACCGGCGGGACGUCAGUAGGAUUUUUCUUCGAUAUCAGCUUUGAGUUUUAUUGCUUUCAAGUCAGGCUUAUAGCUUGAUAGCAGGUCAUUUUGUUGGACCUUCAGAACCUGCUCUUUUGGUA